GUGAGUAAUGUCUGGGAAACUGCCUGAUGGAGGGGGAUAACUACUGGAAACGGUGGCUAAUACCGCAUAACGUCGCAAGACCAAAGAGGGGGACCUUCGGGCCUCUUGCCAUCAGAUGUGCCCAGAUGGGAUUAGCUUGUUGGUGAGGUAACGGCUCACCAAGGCGACGAUCCCUAGCUGGUCUGAGAGGAUGACCAGCCACACUGGAACUGAGACACGGUCCAGACUCCUACGGGAGGCAGCAGUGGGGAAUAUUGCACAAUGGGCGCAAGCCUGAUGCAGCCAUGCCGCGUGUAUGAAGAAGGCCUUCGGGUUGUAAAGUACUUUCAGCGGGGAGGAAGGUGUUGUGGUUAAUAACCGCAGCAAUUGACGUUACCCGCAGAAGAAGCACCGGCUAACUCCGUGCCAGCAGCCGCGGUAAUACGGAGGGUGCAAGCGUUAAUCGGAAUUACUGGGCGUAAAGCGCACGCAGGCGGUCUGUCAAGUCGGAUGUGAAAUCCCCGGGCUCAACCUGGGAACUGCAUUCGAAACUGGCAGGCUUGAGUCUUGUAGAGGGGGGUAGAAUUCCAGGUGUAGCGGUGAAAUGCGUAGAGAUCUGGAGGAAUACCGGUGGCGAAGGCGGCCCCCUGGACAAAGACUGACGCUCAGGUGCGAAAGCGUGGGGAGCAAACAGGAUUAGAUACCCUGGUAGUCCACGCCGUAAACGAUGUCUACUUGGAGGUUGUGCCCUUGAGGCGUGGCUUCCGGAGCUAACGCGUUAAGUAGACCGCCUGGGGAGUACGGCCGCAAGGUUAAAACUCAAAUGAAUUGACGGGGGCCCGCACAAGCGGUGGAGCAUGUGGUUUAAUUCGAUGCAACGCGAAGAACCUUACCUGGUCUUGACAUCCACAGAAGAAUCCAGAGAUGGAUUUGUGCCUUCGGGAACUGUGAGACAGGUGCUGCAUGGCUGUCGUCAGCUCGUGUUGUGAAAUGUUGGGUUAAGUCCCGCAACGAGCGCAACCCUUAUCCUUUGUUGCCAGCGGUUAGGCCGGGAACUCAAAGGAGACUGCCAGUGAUAAACUGGAGGAAGGUGGGGAUGACGUCAAGUCAUCAUGGCCCUUACGACCAGGGCUACACACGUGCUACAAUGGCGCAUACAAAGAGAAGCGACCUCGCGAGAGCAAGCGGACCUCAUAAAGUGCGUCGUAGUCCGGAUUGGAGUCUGCAACUCGACUCCAUGAAGUCGGAAUCGCUAGUAAUCGUGGAUCAGAAUGCCACGGUGAAUACGUUCCCGGGCCUUGUACACACCGCCCGUCACACCAUGGGAGUGGGUUGCAAAAGAAGUAGGUAGCUUAACCUUCGGGAGGGCGCUUACCACUUUGUGAUUCAUGACUGGGGUGAAGUCGUAACAAGGUAACCGUAGGGGAACCUGCGGUUGGAUCACCUCCUUACCUUAAAGAA
Molecule: ribosomal RNA, 1440 nt
Filed under: Salmonella enterica subsp. enterica serovar Enteritidis
Lineage: Bacteria; Pseudomonadati; Pseudomonadota; Gammaproteobacteria; Enterobacterales; Enterobacteriaceae
Description: bacterial SSU rRNA
Rfam family: Bacterial small subunit ribosomal RNA
Source: RNAcentral